AUGUGCAAUUUUAGAGCGCCUGAAACAUGGUAUGAAAAGGUUGCGAGAAGCUAUAACUCAAGCUGUGAAUUUUCUAAUCCUGCUGUUGGUUGGUGUUUCCUUUGUUAUUUUACAAACUACGUAAUUUCUCUUCUAAAUCACCACACAUUUUACAAUACUCUGAUGUUUGUGUUGUACACACACACACACACACACACACACACACACACACAUAUAUAUAUAUAUAUAUUAUAUUCUAUAAAUAAAUUCAAUCUACAAGAAUUGUUGGUCGGAUAUCUCCCAAAACAUGGGCUGCUAUGGAAGUCUUCUUAG
Vicia faba (fava bean) is the source of this 312-nucleotide non-coding RNA. Lineage: Eukaryota; Viridiplantae; Streptophyta; Magnoliopsida; Fabales; Fabaceae. The record is from the annotation of a GenBank genome assembly.